CCUACGGGAGGCAGCAGUUGGGAAUUUUGGGCAAUGGGCGAAAGCCUGAUCCAGCCAUGCCGCGUGUGUGAAGAAGGUCUUCGGAUUGUAAAGCACUUUAAGUUGGGAGGAAGGGCAGUUACCUAAUACGUGAUUGUUUUGACGUUACCGACAGAAUAAGCACCGGCUAACUCUGUGCCAGCAGCCG
This 187-nucleotide ribosomal RNA is filed under the name uncultured Gammaproteobacteria bacterium. Its description in RNAcentral is "partial 16S ribosomal RNA". It matches the Rfam family "Bacterial small subunit ribosomal RNA", at positions 338 to 517 of the family's 1533-position model. The record is from RNAcentral. Lineage: Bacteria; Pseudomonadati; Pseudomonadota; Gammaproteobacteria.